AAGGAGGAGGAGGCAGAGGCGGUCUGGGCCGGGCCGGGCCUGACCCCUGCGUCCCGGGGGCACAGGCGUUCUUAAGGCUGCAGAGCCCUGGGUCCCCCACCCGGCCCCGGUUCACUUUGAGCGGUCCCAAGGCCUGAGGGCCUACUGUCCAGUCCCCAGGUUAUCGUCCUGAGCAAAGACAGACCCCGAGCCCUGCGGUCUUGGGGCUCAAACAGUCCCUGGAUGGCCAAACAAGCAAAUAUUCGCCAUGGCAGUGGGUGCUGGAAGGGUGGCUCACGGAGCUGACGCCCUCCGCAGAGAACCGUGGUCUAGUCCUGCGGUCACGAGGCCUAUCUGGGACAGUGGUGUUUGAGCUGAGACUUUAACGAAUAGAGACAGGUGAGGUUCCUGCAGCCCAGGGCUUCAGCGUGAACAACCCCAGAAGGAAAAAGAGUGCUGUUGUUAAAGGUAUCUGGCAUCAUGGACCCAACCAUCACCAGGAGUUUCUCACUUCAUCUCUGUGUGAUAAAUUUUGACAUAUGUAUACAUCCAUGAAGCCGGCACCACAAUCAAGAUAAUGAACAUCUCGCUUACCCCAGAAGUUUCCUGUGCCCUGUCACUCCUCCGUAUUCCUCCAUCCUCAGGAUUUCAUCAAAUGGUCUGCUGCACUGUGCUGGAAUUUUGAACUCCCCAGAGUAGUAAACAACAUCUUCUCAAGGGUAUACAAGUCAUCAGAUAGAGAAAACACCCAUUAUAGAGCUGUGGAGCCCUUACGAUAUAGUGCUAUGCUGCAACAAAUUAGACAGAAGAGUAUUUGUUGAAUAAUAAAAGGUAUCAAUGAACGAACAAAUAAAUUAAUGAGCUGAUGUAUUGAUUAAAUGAAUUUACUUCUUUCAGAUUUACUUUUCCAAACUAAAAAAAAAUUGUUUUAAACUUUGUUCCAAAGUUAUACAGUUUUUACAAAAAUAAAACUUUAUUUUUGAAAAAAAAAAAAAAAA
RNAcentral lists this long non-coding RNA (977 nucleotides) under Homo sapiens (human). Its description in RNAcentral is "SUCLG2 divergent transcript, transcript variant 2 (SUCLG2-DT)". The record is from RNAcentral. Lineage: Eukaryota; Metazoa; Chordata; Mammalia; Primates; Hominidae.